AAAAAAAAAAAAAAAAACGGGCGGGAGAUGGGGGGGAUGAACUAAAACAAUUAACGCUAAAGUGGUUAAUAAAGGUGAGUAGAGAGGGUUUACGACUAGUUAGGGUGCGUAUAACCUAGAGUGUGAGUCUUGCUGAGGCACACACACACACACGCAUCACAGCACAGGGAACACUCAAGGAAGCAGGGGGGAAGGAAACUCAAGGGAACUCAUGCCUUCUUGCAACGAGGCUAUAGGGAAUGGGAGGAGCGCGAGGCAAAGAAGGCCCUCUCGAGGCUGUGAAUGGGAAGGGAGCAAGGCUUAAAAGGGCCUCUCCUGCCGUGAAUUCCUUGCUAAGUGGAACAUAAGCGUUACGACCCCAAACGUCCGCCAUCGAUUCCACCUCUUUGACAGGUACAAAGAACGACGCGACUGGGCAAAAGAGGGAAAGGUGAGACGGUUUAUGAGGAAGUUACGGCCAGGUAUACAAGUGCUUACGAGAAGAUGAUGGGAUAACCUUAUUUAUGCUCUAGAUAUUUGCAAGGGAGAAUAAUUAGGAGAGUGAGGUUAGGGGAGGAGGGUCAGAAAAUAAGAGAGGAGAGAAGAGGAGAAAGAAACAGAGAUAUAUACAAGUGCUGAAGAGAUGAAGGAAUAAGUUUAUCUAUGCUCCAGAUAUUUGCAAGGAAAAGUAAUUGGUCGAGUGAGGUUGGUGGACGAGGACUAGGUAAUAACAGGAGAUGAGAGAAAGAGUUAAGGUGGAACGGCUAAUGGGGAAGAAACAGCGACAUAUACGACUGCUUAUGAGAUGAUGAGAUAAAGGUAUUUAUGCUCUAGAUAUCUGCGAGGGAGAGUGAGGUUAGGGGAGAAGGGCUUGAAAAUAAAGGGAGUGAGGUUAGGGGAGAAGGGCUUGAAAAUAAAGGGAGUGAGGUUAGGGGAGAAGGGCUUGAAAAUAAAGGGAGUGAGGUUAGGGGAGAAGGGCUUGAAAAUAAAGGGAGUGAGGUUAGGGGAGAAGGGCUUGAAAAUAAAGGGAGUGAGGUUAGGGGAGAAGGGCUUGAAAAUAAAGGGAGUGAGGUUAGGGGAGAAGGGCUUGAAAAUAAAGGGAGGGAGGUUAGGGGAGAAGGGCUUGAGAAUAAAGGGAAUGAGGUUAGGGGAGAAGAGCUUAAAAAUAAAAGGAGAGGAGAGGAAUGAGUUCAUGAGGGGAAUCUUGACAAAAUUCACUUGUUCCCCCCCCAAAAAAAAAUUAAUGGAUAUGCUUAUUCUAUUGAAGGAUAUUUGUGAAGCUGUUGCGGAGUGAGAUGAAAGGAGGAAGGUAAAGAAUUAAAACACACAGAAACGAAGACAGUUGAUGAAAAGUGUAGAUGAUAAUUUCCUUUUGCUUUUAACAUUUCGUCGGGAUCUGGUUAUUUCACCUUUGGCUACAAUUAUGUAAAGGUGAGACGGAGACUGAGGUGAAGGGGAGGAGGGUUGGAAAUGAACGAGAGAAAGAAAGAGAGACAGUUCAUGCUGGUUACGAUGCAGAAUUUCAGUGCUGACGACAAUGCGGCGGAUUAUACAUAUUUAUUUUUUUAUUUUCAUUUUUAUUUUAUUUUUUUACGUCUCCGCCUAUUGCGCCGGUAGGCUUGCUUGAGGGGCCUGGAUGGUAUUCGGCCCCAGCCCGUCAUGGCGCAGGCAGGUGUUUAUAGUGGCGCCAUCUUAAUUGCUGUGAAGGUAACACGGAAGGGUGAAAAAGGUGAAGCUUGGGGAUUAGAUGAAAGCGAAACCUGAGGAUGAGACGCGGAGGGUGACGAGGACUAAAAAAAAUGAAGGUGAUAAGAUUAUAAGCGUCCGGGAUAUCAAGGGAGAAGGAAGACUGAAACACACACACACACACACACACACACACACACACACACACACACACACACACACACACACACACACGAGAGAAAAUGAUUAUCUGGAACAUGAGAAUAAUACCGAGGAGGAUGUGUUCAGAUGUUUUCGCUUAACAAAUACAUUAAUACAAUUACGAGAAGGCGGAGGAGGAGAACAAGGGAGAAGAAUGAAAUAAUAAGAUCGUGCACGAGAACGAAGGCGAGAUCAAGGAGAACGACGAGGAGGAGGGUAAACUGGAAGAAGAAAGAAUACACUCAUUGGAAGAGAACGAGGACAAGGUGGGAGAGGGAAGGGAAAGGAGGAAAAGAACCUAGAGACGAGGGAAAGCGAGAAUAGAAAGAGGAGAAGGAGGAAGAGGAGGAAAAGAACAAAGAGACAAGGAAAAGCAAGAGGAGAAGGGGACGGAAGGGGAAGGAGAGAAGGAGCAGAAAGAAGAAAAAAAUAUGAAUAGACCGAAUAUUUAAAAGAAGACAAGGAAGAAAAGAACAAAGAAAACAUGAAGAUAGAGAAACAGUAGUGGCUGAAGAAGAAAAAAAAAAGAAAACGAACAAGAAGAUGAUGAAGAAGAAAAGAAGACAAAGAAGAAGAAGAAAAAAAAUGAAAUAAAAGACAAAGAACAGCAACAACAAGAGCACUAUGAGAAGAAAAGGAAGAAAAACCAAG
Long non-coding RNA from Eriocheir sinensis (Chinese mitten crab), 2517 nucleotides. RefSeq lists it as uncharacterized. The record is from RefSeq and is a predicted model, not a curated record. The transcript has 3 exons. NCBI's taxonomy places the organism in Eukaryota, Metazoa, Arthropoda, Malacostraca, Decapoda, Varunidae.